GUGGUUUUAAUACCGCGUAAGUUGGUAGAGCCCUGGAUUGUGAUUCCAGUUGUCGUGGGUUCGAAUCCCAUUAGCCACCCCA
Molecule: transfer RNA, 82 nt
Filed under: Klebsiella pneumoniae
Lineage: Bacteria; Pseudomonadati; Pseudomonadota; Gammaproteobacteria; Enterobacterales; Enterobacteriaceae
Description: tRNA-His
Rfam family: tRNA
About the family: Transfer RNA (tRNA) molecules are approximately 80 nucleotides in length. Their secondary structure includes four short double-helical elements and three loops (D, anti-codon, and T loops).
Source: RNAcentral